AUACGUAGAUGGCAAGCGUUAUCCGGAAUGACUGGGCGUAAAGGGUGCGUAGGCGGUUGUUUAAGUCAGAUGUGAAAAUCCCGGGCUCAACCUGGGAACUGCAUUUGGAACUGGACGACUUGAGUGCAGGAGAGGAAAGUGGAAUUCCUAGUGUAGCGGUGAAAUGCGUAGAUAUUAGGAGGAACACCAGUGGCGAAGGCGACUUUCUGGACUGUAACUGACGCUGAGGCACGAAAGCGUGGGGAGCGAACAGGAUUAGAUACCCUGGUAGUCCACACAGUAAACGAUGAAUACUCGCUGUUUGCGAUAUACAGUAAGCGGCCAAGCGAAAGCGUUAAGUAUUCCACCUGGGGAGUACGCCGACAACGGUGA
This 372-nucleotide ribosomal RNA is filed under the name uncultured bacterium. RNAcentral describes it as "bacterial SSU rRNA". It matches the Rfam family "Bacterial small subunit ribosomal RNA", at positions 523 to 897 of the family's 1533-position model. The record is from RNAcentral.